RNAcentral lists this ribosomal RNA (432 nucleotides) under uncultured bacterium. Its description in RNAcentral is "bacterial SSU rRNA". It matches the Rfam family "Bacterial small subunit ribosomal RNA", at positions 29 to 507 of the family's 1533-position model. The record is from RNAcentral.
AACGAACGCUGGCGGCAGGCUUAACACAUGCAAGUCGAACGCCCCGCAAGGGGAGUGGCAGACGGGUGAGUAACGCGUGGGAAUCUACCCAAUACUACGGAAUAGCUCCGGGAAACUGGAAUUAAUACCGUAUGUGCCCUACGGGGGAAAGAUUUAUCGGUAUUGGAUGAGCCCGCGUUGGAUUAGCUAGUUGGUGGGGUAAAAGCCUACCAAGGCGACGAUCCAUAGCUGGUCUGAGAGGAUGAUCAGCCACACUGGGACUGAGACACGGCCCAGACUCCUACGGGAGGCAGCAGUGGGGAAUAUUGGACAAUGGGCGAAAGCCUGAUCCAGCCAUGCCGCGUGAGUGAUGAAGGCCUUAGGGUUGUAAAGCUCUUUUUAGUGGGGACGAUAAUGACGGUACCCACAGAAAAAGCCCCGGCUAACUUCGUG